UACGGAGGGGACUAGCGUUGUUCGGAAUUACUGGGCGUAAAGAGUACGUAGGCGGCUUGCCAAGUUGGAUGUGAAAGCCCGGGGCUCAACCCCGGAACUGCAUUCAAAACUGGUUGGCUAGAGAUCGGAAGAGGUAAGUGGAAUUCCCAGUGUAGAGGUGAAAUUCGUAGAUAUUGGGAAGAACACCGGUGGCGAAGGCGACUUACUGGUCCGAUACUGACGCUGAGGUACGAAAGCGUGGGGAGCAAACAGG
This 253-nucleotide ribosomal RNA is filed under the name uncultured bacterium. RNAcentral's name for it is "partial 16S ribosomal RNA". It matches the Rfam family "Bacterial small subunit ribosomal RNA", at positions 524 to 776 of the family's 1533-position model. The record is from RNAcentral.